AUUGAACGCUGGCGGCAGGCCUAACACAUGCAAGUCGAGCGGAGCGGCUGACGGGUGAGUAAUGCCUAGGAAGCUGACUGGUAGUGGGGGAUAACGUCCGGAAACGGGCGCUAAUACCGCAUACUAUCAGAUGAGCCUAGGUGGGAUGAGCUAGUUGGUGGGGUAAAGGCCGAACAAGGCGACGAUCCGGAACUGGUCUGGGAGGAUGAUCAGUGCAACUGGAACUAGGACACGGUCCAUACUCCUACGGGACGCAGCAGUGGGGAAUAUUGGACAAUGGGCGAAAGCCUGGUCCAGCCGUGCCGGGGGUGUGAAGAAGGUAUUCGGAUUGUAAAGCACUUUAAGUUGUGAGGCGUUACCAACAGAAUAAGCACCGGCUAACUUCGUGCCAGCAGCCGCGGUAAUUC
RNAcentral lists this ribosomal RNA (407 nucleotides) under uncultured bacterium. Its description in RNAcentral is "partial 16S ribosomal RNA". It matches the Rfam family "Bacterial small subunit ribosomal RNA", at positions 30 to 526 of the family's 1533-position model. The record is from RNAcentral.